Molecule: ribosomal RNA, 253 nt
Filed under: uncultured bacterium
Lineage: Bacteria
Description: partial 16S ribosomal RNA
Rfam family: Bacterial small subunit ribosomal RNA
Source: RNAcentral
UACGUAGGGUGCAAGCGUUGUCCGGAAUUAUUGGGCGUAAAGAGCUCGUAGGCGGCUAGUCGCGUCGGCUGUGAAAACCUGGGGCUCAACCCCGGGCCUGCAGCCGAUACGGGCUAGCUAGAAUUCGGUAGGGGAGACUGGAAUUCCUGGUGUAGCGGUGAAAUGCGCAGAUAUCAGGAGGAACACCGGUGGCGAAGGCGGGUCUCUGGGCCGAUAUUGACGCUGAGGAGCGAAAGCGUGGGGAGCGAACACG